UCCGGCGGAUCCGAGCGUUAUCCGGAUUUAUUGGGUUUAAAGGGUGCGUAGGCGGCCUUUUAAGUCAGCGGUAAAAUGUCCGGGCUCAACCCGGGCCGGCCGUUGAAACUGGGGAUCUUGAGUGGGCGAGAAGUAUGCGGAAUGCGUGGUGUAGCGGUGAAAUGCUUAGAUAUCACGAAGAACUCCGAUUGCGAAGGCAGCUCACUGGACUGAAACUGACGCUCAGGCACGAAAGCGUGGGGAGCAAAUAGG
Molecule: ribosomal RNA, 252 nt
Filed under: uncultured Bacteroidales bacterium
Lineage: Bacteria; Pseudomonadati; Bacteroidota; Bacteroidia; Bacteroidales
Description: partial 16S ribosomal RNA
Rfam family: Bacterial small subunit ribosomal RNA
Source: RNAcentral